This 365-nucleotide long non-coding RNA is filed under the name Rattus norvegicus (Norway rat). Its description in RNAcentral is "long non-coding RNA NONRATT021010". Lineage: Eukaryota; Metazoa; Chordata; Mammalia; Rodentia; Muridae. The record is from RNAcentral.
AGAAGACAGUACCUGGCAACAGAAGAGAAUUCCUGGCUAAAGAUCAGUGUGCCUAAUACGAAGAAAAAGGACAUUGGGUCAGGGACUGCCCCAGAAAGAACAAGAGGGGACACUGGAGAGCCUCUUGGUGCUGGCUAUGCACAGAGAUAGAAGGGAAGCCCGCCCAGUUGUUAUGUGGAUACAGGGACCCAAUGCUCUGUGCUCCUAUGCUCCAGUGGGCCAGUAUCCAAAGACCUUGGGUACAGGGGCCUGCUGGCAACAAACAAUACUUAUGGACUGCCCGAAGAACAGUGGACCUUGGCGUGGGCCGGGUAACCCACUAGUUCAUAGUCAUCCCUGACUGCCCCCAUCCCUUGCUCAUGAGA